Molecule: ribosomal RNA, 445 nt
Filed under: uncultured bacterium
Lineage: Bacteria
Description: SSU rRNA
Rfam family: Bacterial small subunit ribosomal RNA
Source: RNAcentral
AGAGCGAACGCUGGCGGCAGGCUUAACACAUGCAAGUCGAGCGGGCGUAGCAAUACGUCAGCGGCAGACGGGUGAGUAACGCGUGGGAACGUACCUUUUGGUUCGGAACAACACAGGGAAACUUGUGCUAAUACCGGAUAAGCCCUUACGGGGAAAGAUUUAUCGCCAAAAGAUCGGCCCGCGUCUGAUUAGCUAGUUGGUGAGGUAACGGCUCACCAAGGCGACGAUCAGUAGCUGGUCUGAGAGGAUGAUCAGCCACAUUGGGACUGAGACACGGCCCAAACUCCUACGGGAGGCAGCAGUGGGAAUAUUGGACAAUGGGCGCAAGCCUGAUCCAGCCAUGCCGCGUGAGCGAUGAAGGCCCUAGGGUUGUAAAGCUCUUUUGUGCGGGAAGAUAAUGACGGUACCGCAAGAAUAAGCCCGGCUAACUCGCGCCAGCAGCCGC